RNAcentral lists this unclassified non-coding RNA (246 nucleotides) under Hevea brasiliensis (rubber tree). The record is from RNAcentral. Lineage: Eukaryota; Viridiplantae; Streptophyta; Magnoliopsida; Malpighiales; Euphorbiaceae.
CAUUCCUUGGGUUUGAAAUUAACAAUGGAUGCUUGCUUGAUGGGCUUGGUCUUACUAUGAUCGUGAAUAUGAAGAAUCUGCUGGGAAUACAGUAAAAUCAUGGCUGAUGGCCUGAUGCAUGCUAGAACCUUAGAAGUGAAUCUACUCUUCUGACAUGCCUUGUCUUUCAAAGAGAGCUUGGAAAACUAAAGGUUCUACACUUGGGCUUGAAUGGCAUCACAGAUGCAUGUUUGGUGCACCUGAAAG